CCGCCCUUAGCUCAGUUGGUAGAGCAACUGACUCUUAAUCAGUGGGUCUAGAGUUCGAGUCUCUAAGGGCGGACCA
RNAcentral lists this transfer RNA (76 nucleotides) under Candidatus Alectryobacillus merdavium. RNAcentral describes it as "tRNA-Lys". It matches the Rfam family "tRNA". Rfam says of the family: Transfer RNA (tRNA) molecules are approximately 80 nucleotides in length. Their secondary structure includes four short double-helical elements and three loops (D, anti-codon, and T loops). The record is from RNAcentral. Lineage: Bacteria; Bacillati; Bacillota; Bacilli.